Molecule: non-coding RNA, 73 nt
Organism: Ixodes scapularis (black-legged tick)
Lineage: Eukaryota; Metazoa; Arthropoda; Arachnida; Ixodida; Ixodidae
Source: Rfam
UCCUGGUAAGCUCAGUUGGUAAAACGCUCCACUGGAAAUGGAGAGGUCCCGGGUUCGAUACCCGGACCAGGCG